UACGGGGGGUGCGAGCGUUAUUCGGAAUUAUUGGGCGUAAAGGGCGCGCAGGCGGUUCCGCAAGUCGGGUGUGAAAGCCCGGGGCUUAACCCCGGAAGAGCAUUUGAAACUGCGGGACUUGAGUAUGGGAGAGGAAGGCGGAAUUCCUGGUGUAGCGGUGAAAUGCGUAGAUAUCAGGAGGAACACCGGUGGCGAAGGCGGCCUUCUGGACCAAUACUGACGCUGAGGUGCGAAGGCGCGGGGAGCAAACAGGAUUAGAUACCCUGGUAGUCCGCGCAGUAAACGGUGAUCACUUGGUGCGGCGGGUAUUUACCCCUGCCGUGCCGAAGCUAACGUAUUAAGUGAUCCGCCUGGGAAGUACGAUCGCAAGAUUAAA
This 376-nucleotide ribosomal RNA is filed under the name uncultured bacterium. Its description in RNAcentral is "bacterial SSU rRNA". It matches the Rfam family "Bacterial small subunit ribosomal RNA", at positions 524 to 898 of the family's 1533-position model. The record is from RNAcentral.